Nyctereutes procyonoides (raccoon dog) is the source of this 175-nucleotide long non-coding RNA. RefSeq lists it as uncharacterized. The record is from RefSeq and is a predicted model, not a curated record. The transcript is spliced from 3 exons. Lineage: Eukaryota; Metazoa; Chordata; Mammalia; Carnivora; Canidae.
ACAAACCACUCCAGAUUGGUAUGUGGUAGUUUUAAUAAGCAAGAAGACUUUCAAGGCUGGCUUGUUUUGGGCAGCCAUGGGCUAAGAUAUUGAAUCCUUUGACUUCUCAAAUCAGUAGCAGACCUCCCGAUUCUGGAACUGCAUAUAAUUAUCUGCAACGAAAUGCACACACAGA